RNAcentral lists this ribosomal RNA (278 nucleotides) under uncultured Anoxybacillus sp. Its description in RNAcentral is "partial 16S ribosomal RNA". It matches the Rfam family "Bacterial small subunit ribosomal RNA", at positions 1111 to 1382 of the family's 1533-position model. Lineage: Bacteria; Bacillati; Bacillota; Bacilli; Caryophanales; Anoxybacillaceae. The record is from RNAcentral.
UCCACGCGAUUCUAGUUGGGUCGACUCUAAGGUAGGACUAGCCGGCCGUAAAAGUAACGGAGGAAAGGUAGGGAGUGACGUCAAAUCAUCAUGCCCCUUAUGACCUGGGCUACACACGUGCUACAAUGGGCGGUACAAAGGGUCGCGAACCCGCGAGGGGGAGCCAAUCCCAAAAAGCCGCUCUCAGUUCGGAUUGCAGGCUGCAACUCGCCUGCAUGAAGCCGGAAUCGCUAGUAAUCGCGGAUCAGCAUGCCGCGGUGAAUACGUUCCCGGGCCUU